GUGUUAUUCAUAGGCAUUUGUCCAGAAUCUAUGUAGUGAAGAGAGGAAAGGAAGAGAGAGACGUAAGAAAAUGGAAAAAGCUUGGCAGAGAUCUUAUGAUGUUUGUCUCAGUUCUUAUGUAACAAUGAGAUGGGGGGAGAUUGUGCUUUUUUUUGUUUCAUUCUUGCAAGUAAAGGUGAAAGUAGGGAAGCCUUUCCUUGAGCCGGAUGUCACGGCUCCAGACAGCUGCUCAGACUAUCUCCAGGUGACUGAACAGUGAGAAAGCUGCCUAUGGAGCCAAAGAGGGGAUGUGGCAAGGGCAUUUGCAUCAAUCCCAGAAGUCUCUUAUGCAAAUAAAGGCUCGUGUUUGCAUAAACUGAGGAACAAUUCAUCAUGCAAAGAAGUAUACAUAUUUAUGCCAAUUACAGGAUUUCCACUGGGCCACCAGGGGAAGAGCUCUCCUUGGGUGAUGGAAAAAAAGGGGGACACAUCCAACUUACCCUUUUCAUUACAUUUAUUUGCAUGUUUGUGUGAGCUUCUGUGUAAGUGCACGUAGGAGCACAGAGGUUUGGCCAUCAGAGGACAACUUGUGGGAGUUGGUUCUCUCCUUGGACCAUGUGGGCCCUGAGGAUCGAACUCAGUUUGUCAGACUCGAAAGCCAGCAUCUUUUCCUUCUCUGAGGCAUCUUACCCUGCUGGCAACCAAUUUAAAAUAUAAUGGGGACUCUUCAUGUGUCAGAGCCCUGUGCAACACUGAAGGGAUAUGUGCGUGAAAGGAGGAGGAGUGCCACUGGGCUCUACAGCUCCAGGACCUUCUGGGGGCUGAUGUGCCAAGUGUCUCCAACGACUUUACUUUGGGGGCAGGGACGGGGGGGCGACUUCAUGAGAGUGGCAGAUAAAUGGCUAUGGAAUUGAGUAAAGAGCAUAAAAGCAUGCAAUUCACAGUUGAAAUAAUGCAAUUCCUAGGAAAUGAGAUGUAAGAGAAUAUGUAAAAUGGAAGGACCCCAGCGCACGCGCAGCAGCAAGAGGCCCGCCCAGUAAGAUUAGAUUCGCGGACAGGAAAAUGAAAUGUUUUCCCCGGCGAAAGAGUGGAGCUUUGGGAGAUCGUGGAGAGACAACCUAAAGUAACGUUUCUUGUUUAAGAAAACAAGAAAAAACAGCUCAUAAGCAGCCCAUUUGGGAGAUUUCUGUGGUUUCCUGGCGUUGACCUCGUCCCACCCGCUCCACCUGCCCUAUACUCUAAAAGCCGCGCUGUUCCCAUGGGAGAUAAGUUACAGGCGCCCGAGGCUGUUUGCCGUAACCAGCUUCGCCCUCUCCCUGUUUUCUCACCCAGAUCUCUACUCCUACAGCUCUUCCUUGCCCUUUCCCCAAAUUUCUCCAGUAGAGUGCAAGCUAGCUUGUCCUGUCCCUGAUCUAUUAAGACCCUGGACUGUCUCAAUCAAAUGCUCAACUCCCACAAAAACCAUUGCAGAGGAGACGAUCACCGGCUUCCCACGUGCAAUCCUCAGCUCGCAGUGACCUCUGAGAACAGCAUUUCCUUUUUUUUUUUUUUUCAGCUUGAACAGGCAUCGUAAGACUCUGACAUGUAUAUGUAUAAGGGGAUCUUCUUGUCCAUUGUUCUUUGGGGGGCGGGUAUAGUAUUCAAUUCGGGGAAGAAUUACUUUCAGUAAGAGAAGAAUUAUUUGGUUUCCUCUAGAUUGGCACUUGAGUAUUCUGAGGAGUGUGGCAACAUCCUCUCCACCCCAGUGUUGGUAUUUUCCUCUAUUAUAAAUUGUUCUAUUCCCAUAAAGGGAAGAAAGGAAGGGGAAGGGUUAUAGGAGAAGGCAUGGCAAGUUUUAUUAAUUGAAUUAGGAGUAACUUACCUCUAAAGGCAUGGUAGUUCUAUAGAGUACACACUGUAAAAGUCAAGCAGGUUUGUUGGAGCACACUUUGUUUUGUGUAUGUUUUCACGUGUAUGUGCGUGAGUGUACGUGCAUUUGGUGACUACAGGUCAUUGUCUGGCCUGCCCCUCAAUUGCUCUAUACCUCCCCCCUGCUUGUUAUUUGAGAUGGUUUCUUAUUGGCUAUAGAAGUUAAAGAUAUCUGAACAGGCUGGCCAGAAUUCUGCACAAGGAAUCCCCCUGACGUCACCUGCCCGUGCUCGGACCAUCACACAGCUGUGCCUGCUUUUUACAUGGGUGUGUGGUAUUGCUUGAACAGCAAGUACUUAACCAAAUGAGCCUUCACCCAGCCCCUCCAACUCCUUUUCUUUUCUUUGUUUGUUCAAAAGUAAUACUUUUUCUUUUCAUUAAAUAUUUUUUUAAAUUCUUCUCUUAUACAAUGCAUCUUGACUGUAGUUUCCCCUCCCUCUACUCCUCCCAGUCCUCUCCCACCCUGCCCUGUUCCCCACAUCCAGGGCUCCUCCAUUUUUCCCCUUUAGAGAAGAGCAGGCUUCCCCGGGAUAUCAGCUGAGCAUGGUAGAACAAGAAAUAAUAAGACUCAGCGCAAGCCCUCAUAUCAAUGAGGGACAAGGCACCCCAGUAGGAAGAAAAGGGUCCCAAGGGCAGGCUUAAGAGUCAGAUACGCCCAUCACUCCCGCUGUUAGGAGUCCAGCAAAAACCCUAAGCUACACAACCAUAAGGUAUGUGCAGAGAACCUAACGCAGACCAGUGCGGGGUCGUGGUUGUUAUUUCAGUCUCUGUGAGCCCCUAUGAGCUCUGCUUAGUUAAUUUGCGAGCCAUGUUCUCAUGGCAUCCUCAACUCCUCUGGCUCCUACAGUCCUCUCCAGGGGGGGGCACCCCCUCCACCACCCCACCCCACCCCUGCUUCUGUUAGUGAAUGUUUGACGGUGGUUCUCUUCAUCUGCUCCCAUCAGCUGCCAGAGGAAGCCUCUCUGAUGAUGACUGGGUGAGGCAUUGAUGUAGGAGUAUAAGAGAAUACCAUUAGGAAUCAUUUCAUGGAAUUUUUUCCUUGUUAGCUGUAUUUGGUUCUAUCCUAGGUCUCUGAGCCAUCAGCCUCUAGUUCCUGGUCUUCCAGGCAUGGGCUUCCUCUUGCGGUGGGGGCCUCAAGUUGGACCAGCCAUUGGUUGAGUACUCCCAUAAGUUCUGCAUCGCCAUUACCCUAGCACAGCUUGUAGGCUGGACAAAUUGGAGGUUGAAGGUUUUGUGGCAGGGUUGGUGUCCCAGUGCCACCACUGCAGGCCUUACCUGGUUACAGGAGAUGGUGUCUGAAUCCUCUAGCGCUUGGAGUCCUCACUAGGGUCACCCUCAUAGAUUUCAGGGAAUUUCCACUGGGCUAGGUUUCCACACCGCCCCCAAACUCCUAAAUUCCAGAUGUGCACCUCUGCCACACUCCCUCCCUUCUUGCUCCCCCUCCCCCGUUCCCAUCCCCAUCUGCCCCAGUCCACGCAUCCCCUCCUGAGCCCCGCUUGUUACUGCCUCUCUGUAAGUGAACUGCAGUGCGAGUGUCCUUUACUUAACAGCCAAUGUCCAUAUAUGAGCGAGUACACACCGUGUUUGUCUUUCUGGGUCUGGGAAAGUUCAUGAUGUCAUUUUUUCUUUAAACUGUUGAGUAAUACUCCAUUGUGUAAAUGACUGCAUUUUUAUCUCUUCUUCAGUUCCUAGCUAAUAUGAAUAAAGCUGUCACAAACGGG
Cricetulus griseus (Chinese hamster) is the source of this 3608-nucleotide non-coding RNA. NCBI's taxonomy places the organism in Eukaryota, Metazoa, Chordata, Mammalia, Rodentia, Cricetidae. The record is from RefSeq and is a predicted model, not a curated record.